RNAcentral lists this ribosomal RNA (253 nucleotides) under uncultured bacterium. RNAcentral's name for it is "partial 16S ribosomal RNA". It matches the Rfam family "Bacterial small subunit ribosomal RNA", at positions 524 to 776 of the family's 1533-position model. The record is from RNAcentral.
UACGGAGGGUGCGAGCGUUGUUCGGAAUCACUGGGCGUAAAGCGCGUGUAGGCGGCCUUGUAAGUCUGGUGUGACAGCCCGAGGCUCACCCUCGGCAGUGCACUGGAAACUGUGAGGCUUGAGUACCGGAGAGGAAGGUGGAAUUCCUGGUGUAGCGGUGAAAUGCGUAGAUAUCAGGAGGAACACCGGUGGCGAAGGCGGCCUUCUGGACGGAUACUGAUGCUGAGCCGCGAAAGCGUGGGGAGCAAACAGG